Molecule: non-coding RNA, 167 nt
Organism: Maylandia zebra (zebra mbuna)
Lineage: Eukaryota; Metazoa; Chordata; Actinopteri; Cichliformes; Cichlidae
Source: RefSeq, a predicted model, not a curated record
GGUGUGGAGUGGAGCUUGUUGUUGGUGUGAAGAAACUUUUACAGACACCAUGGGUGCUCGUCAGUCUGCUGUUCAUAUUACAAACAAGACCGAGGGCUACACCCUUUGUAACCCCAGCCUGCAUCUUCUUAGUGGAUGCUGCCAAAUUCCUUUGCCAACAAAACUUG